AAGCAGAACACCUCACAAAGUGCACGGCAGCACAAACAGGCGCUCUAUUUAUUGACUUAUGUAUAUAUAGUUUCCCCCCACACUUGCUAAAGUAUCUCUCUGCCUGUUUUUCACGUUGUGUGUUCUCUUUUUUUUUUUCUUGCUCUUUCCUCCAUCUUGUUUUUCGUAAUUUAAGUGAAACACAGCUAACUCCAAUUUGGUUUCGGUGAAUUGCUAUGACAGAGUGGACUGUAGCUAUGGGGUACACUCAAUAUCCACUUUAAACUCUCGAGUAUUCUAACUAAAUUAAAAGGAGCUCACAUGCCUGGGAGCUGCAUCUCACGAAGAUAAAUGGAGAAAAUAAACGAUCGUGAUAUGCCUUCAUGUGGAUAUCCUUUUACUCAACAUAUGCACAGGAAAAGAAAAAUGCAUCAAGUUUCCCUGUUUCAGCAGGGGCUGGCUCAAUUAACCCCAUGGGUUUUCCAUCCAGUUUGAGAGUAAGCCCUGGAGGCACCCAAAGUGGCUCUAAACCCUAUUGCUGAUCAGACCAGUGGGAGCAUCAGCCAUCUGCCAAGGAAACAUCACACACAAAUCAAUGAUCAUUUCAGGAUCUGGAAGGUGUCAGAACUAGUCCAGGGAUCCCACUCACUGGAAUUCAAUGGUGGGGGUGGUCCCAUCCUGCAGCUCUGCUAGGGAGCACGCACUCUAGUGGGGUUUUGGAGGGCAGGUAUCCCCAUAUUUAUUUGCAGCGCUUGCAAUCAAAGAAUUUGUCACAUUUCUUCAGAGAGGAAGCUGCUCCAGUUGUGAGACAGGGGGAUGAUUCACAGCUUUAUUUAGGCGCCGUUGUUUUCACAGCUAGUUCUGCAAGCAAUAUAUCAUCUUCUGGCUUAGUCGAGGCUACAUCCUCUUGCGUGAGGCAGCUCCGUUUGCCUCGCUCCAUGUUUUUGCCUGUCGAUGGGAGCAGAAAGUAAUUAAGCCAGAGGGUGGGAGCAUUUAGUUCCUUUUCCUCUUCAAACCAAUUCGUCUUCCUGAGCUGACCAGUUACAUUGUGCGCUGUGAUCUCUGUGCUGAUAGCAGCUCCAGUCGCUUGCAGAAACCUGUACCCGUCCCUCAGCAGAUAAUGAGUACCAGACUCUCAAAUGUCUGCUAAAAGAGGUGAAAAGAUGCUGCUGGCUUCCCGUCCCGCUGAGUGCUUGCAAUGCUGCAGGCAUCACGAGCAGAUUAGCCCUGGUCCGGAGAUGCGGCAUCACAGCGGGUCCUAACUGGUGGAAUCCCUAGUAAGAGCAGUGCGGAGCCAGCGCUGACAUCCUUGCGCAAUGCCAGUGUGGCAGAAGAACAGAGUGGCUGCUAUCGUAGAUGGAGAAACAAUAAUCCCUGCCGACCAAGAUGACAACUUUUCUUUGGAUCUGGCAUCAAGUAGAAGUGCUUCCCCUGUGUCUGAGUUGGAGAAUGAGACCACUUCAACAGGACACUCUUCCAUCAUUUCCCAAAGACAUUAUUUUUGCAGUCGGAUGAGUGUUGGCUUCCCAGUGAUGCCUCUACGGACAACAGCAUUCUGUCAGACUGACCUCUCAUACAGCGUUUGAUAGUGUGAUAUAAGUGUGCUGAGGAAGACAAGAAGAUGAUCUCCAGUUGAAGGCACACAAACUCCUAGCCGAUUUUAACAGGAUUGAACCCAGACAUCGUUUUUGCUGCACAACUGCACAACUUCAAAUUGGUUUUACAAUUCAAGGCUCUCUCUUCCAUAGUUAGUAAUUAUUACUUGUCAAGGUUCAUUAAUAUCUCUGCCCCAUACAUUACGCAAGAAACAUCAUUAUAGCAAGACCUUACCCCAUGUCAUUAGCAGGAACUUUUGUAUUUAAUGUUGAGAAUGACUCAAGUGAAGUGCUGCUUUCUCUGACCUGUCAUAAAUAAAGAACCAUUAUAAUUAAAAGCCCAGGCUUGAUUUAUACAGGCUGUUUGCUCAGGCUGCCAGGAUUGAACCUCUUAAUGUCUAUUGUUACCAAGGGAUUUUGGUAAGAGUUGAUCUAGUUUAAUCAAAUACUUACCACUUCUAAUAAGUUUUAGAAAUGUAGCAAGAAACAAAAACAAUCCUG
Molecule: long non-coding RNA, 2075 nt
Organism: Gallus gallus (chicken)
Lineage: Eukaryota; Metazoa; Chordata; Aves; Galliformes; Phasianidae
Source: Ensembl